GCCGGGCAUGGUGGCGGGUGCCUGUAGUCCCAGCUACUCGGGAGGCUGAGGCAGGAGAAUCACUUGAACCCAGGAGGCGGGGGUUGCAGUGACCCGAGAUCACGCCAUUGCACUCCAGCCUGGGUGACAGAGUGAGACUCCGUCUCAA
Molecule: unclassified non-coding RNA, 148 nt
Organism: Macaca fascicularis (crab-eating macaque)
Lineage: Eukaryota; Metazoa; Chordata; Mammalia; Primates; Cercopithecidae
Rfam family: Metazoan signal recognition particle RNA
About the family: The signal recognition particle (SRP) is a universally conserved ribonucleoprotein. It is involved in the co-translational targeting of proteins to membranes.
Source: Ensembl